GUCUUCGUGGCUCAGUUGGCUAGAGCGUUGGUCUCAUAUUCAAUAUGAUCCAAUCCCAGAUUGGGUAAUCCAAAGGUCGUGAGUUCGAGCCUCACCGAGGACA
RNAcentral lists this transfer RNA (103 nucleotides) under Xylariaceae sp. FL0594. RNAcentral's name for it is "tRNA-Met". It matches the Rfam family "tRNA". From Rfam's summary of the family: Transfer RNA (tRNA) molecules are approximately 80 nucleotides in length. Their secondary structure includes four short double-helical elements and three loops (D, anti-codon, and T loops). Lineage: Eukaryota; Fungi; Ascomycota; Sordariomycetes; Xylariales; Xylariaceae. The record is from RNAcentral.